UUCCGGUUGAUCCUGCCAGAGGUCACUGCUAUUGGGAUUCGACUAAGCCAUGCGAGUCGUGAGGGUUCGGCCCUCGGCAGACGGCUCAGUAACACGUAGAUAAUUUGCCCUUAGGUGGAGGAUACCCUCGGGAAACUGAGAAUAAUACUCCAUAGAUCUAGACUGCUGGAAUGCUUUUAGAUUGAAAGAUUUAUCGCCUAAGGAUAAGUCUGCGGACUAUCAGGUCGUAGUUAGGGUAACUACCUGACUAGCCUACGACGGAUACGGGUUGUGAGAGCACUAGCCCGGAGAUGAUAUCUGAGACACGAUAUCAGGCCCUACGGGGCGCAGCAGGCGCGAAAACUUCGCACUGUGCGAAAGCACGACGAGGGAAUCCCAAGUGCUGGCUCGUAAGAGUCAGCUGUUUCUUUGUCUAAAAAACAGAGAGAGUAAGGGCUGGGUAAGACGGGUGCCAGCCGCCGCGGUAUACCUGCAGCCCAAGUGGUGGCCGCUAUUAUUGGGCCUAAAACGUCCGUAGCCGGUUCUAUAAAUGCCUGGGUAAAUCGUACGGCUUAACCGUACGAAUUCCGGGUAGACUGUUUAACUUGGGACCGGGAGAGGCUAGAGGUACUCCUGGGGUAGAGGUGAAAUUCUGUAAUCCUAGGGGGACCACCAGUGGCGAAGGCGUCUAGCUAGAACGGGUCUGACGGUGAGGGACGAAGCCCUGGGGAGCAAACNGGAUUAGAUACCCCGGUAGUCAGGGUGUAAACGCUGCUCGCUUGAUGUUAGUCGGGCUCCGAGCCCAACUAGUGUCGGAGAGAAGUUGUUAAGCGAGCUGCCUGGGGAGUACGGUCGCGAGACUGAAACUUAAAGGAAUUGGCGGGGGAGCACCGCAACGGGUGGAGCGUGCGGUUUAAUUGGAUUCAACCCC
Molecule: ribosomal RNA, 910 nt
Filed under: uncultured Thermoplasmata archaeon
Lineage: Archaea; Methanobacteriati; Thermoplasmatota; Thermoplasmata
Description: bacterial SSU rRNA
Rfam family: Archaeal small subunit ribosomal RNA
Source: RNAcentral